This 254-nucleotide ribosomal RNA is filed under the name uncultured bacterium. RNAcentral's name for it is "partial 16S ribosomal RNA". It matches the Rfam family "Bacterial small subunit ribosomal RNA", at positions 524 to 776 of the family's 1533-position model. The record is from RNAcentral.
CACGUAGGGGGCAAGCGUUGUCCGGAUUUAUUGGGCGUAAAGAGCUCGUAGGCGGUUCGGUAAGUCGGGUGUGAAACCUCCAGGCUCAACCUGGAGACGCCACCCGAUACUGCUGUGACUAGAGUCCGGUAGGGGAGCGUGGAAUUCCUGGUGUAGCGGUGAAAUGCGCAGAUAUUAGGAGGAACACCAGCGGCGAAGGCGGCGCUCUGGGCCGGAACUGACGCUGAGGAGCGAAAGCGUGGGGAGCAAACAGG